AUGUCGAAAUAUUCAUUUAGCGUUAAAUUUUAUAAGAUGUUUCAUCCUUUCUUUUUAUUUACAUUGCUAUUUUCUUCGUUUAUUUUUCGAGUCUUAUCUUCUGUAUAGCUAAAUAAAGAAAUCCAAAGUUUGUAAAUAAUGUGAGUUCAUUUUUAGAAAGUGACGUAACAUAAGUAUAAAGAUAGUUAAUGUUUUUGAAUGAUUAUUAUAAAUAAUAUAUUAUUAUAUUAUGUGAGAUAAGAAAUAAAACCAAUUUCUAUAU
Melitaea cinxia (Glanville fritillary) is the source of this 262-nucleotide long non-coding RNA. RefSeq lists it as uncharacterized. The transcript has 2 exons. Lineage: Eukaryota; Metazoa; Arthropoda; Insecta; Lepidoptera; Nymphalidae. The record is from RefSeq and is a predicted model, not a curated record.